CUGCACCCAAGGCUGAGACGGAAACCAGAGGGAUCUCGUGGGAGAAAAAGCUGUUUUCCUGCUCCGAUUCUUGCUGGGAACUGCACCCCCAUCCCACUGGACACGUACCUUGUGAUGCAAAUAGCAUAUGUCCUCCUGCUUAAUACUUCCGGGUGAGAUUGGCCGACAUGGUGCGUGCAGCCAUGACUUCAUCAUUCCUGUUCCGAGGACGCCAGUGUACUCAUGUAUUCUACAGCUAGUAGACAUCCGGAUGUUGUCAGUUUGCUGCUCAGAAAGUUCCCCGUGCAAGUCCCCUCUAUAAAAACACACAGCCUCCCAACAGGACCUCCUGACACUGCAUCUCAGGUGGCCAGGAUCGUCAUGGCAAACCACUGGAGUGACCUUGUCCCCAGCAGCUCAUGCCACCGUAUGGCUUACUCCGAGCAAUGGGACUUCAGCAAAUGGAAUAGUGAAACUUAGUGAGUGCUCCCUUACUGGAACGUGUCCUCUUGAAAGCUGCUCAGGGACAAGGAUGGUGUGAAAGUGGACGAGCUUCUGCAGUCACUACGAGUAGACCCAGGCAAGCAGCCUUGUCCUGCAGCCAGUGAACCUGGCAGAACUGCGGUGUUUUCUUCUGUUAUGCAGCAGUACAUAAGGGAAACAGCGGCCUUGGCUGUUGGUGGGUCUCUGUGCUUCCUGCUGGUUCACAGCCUGCCUCCCCAACGCCCCGCUCCAACCCACCUGUCCUGAUGAGACCACGGGCAUCUCUGCCAGAGGCUCCCACCGGUGUCUGUAUGUCCACUUCCAAUCCACUCUCUGUUUAAAUUCAAAGCGCAGAAAAGUACACAGAAAAAUGUAACAAGCUCCUCGGUGCUCAACAGAUUUUAAAAAUGUCAUUUGUUAUUUCAUUUCAGGUUGUUUUGAGUAUGAAAGAAAUAACAUGUGUAUGUUUUAAAGUUCCCUUUGAGCCUUUCUCCAGGUUCCUCUCCCCGGGAGGCACCCCACUGGAAACCAGCCUCAAAACCCUGGUGUUGACAAAGAUUCUCCUUGACCGAACUUAGGACAGGCUCCUCUGAGCCCACUUUCUGGCCAGUCCCACACUUGUCCCGUCAUGACCCUGCUUAAUCCAGCUGUAGCAAGGAUCCUGGAUACGUCAGUUAGGAGGGAAUCCUUCCACCCCUGACAGCUGAUCACUCUGGGCUGUCUUCAGCAAGGAGCCUAUUAACUCAGGUCAUCAAAAAUCCCCCACCCUUGACGGCCCCUGCCAUGUUCAGAGCCGAGUUCAGUCUUUCUCCCUUGUUGCAAAAGUCUUCAAUAAAGACUUCCUUUCCUUUUU
This is a long non-coding RNA of Hyaena hyaena (striped hyena), 1315 nucleotides long. RefSeq lists it as uncharacterized. Lineage: Eukaryota; Metazoa; Chordata; Mammalia; Carnivora; Hyaenidae. The transcript has 3 exons. The record is from RefSeq and is a predicted model, not a curated record.